UAGGGAAUCUUCGGCAAUGGACGAAAGUCUGACCGAGCAACGCCGCGUGAGUGAAGAAGGUUUUCGGAUCGUAAAACUCUGUUGUUAGAGAAGAACGUUGAUUAGAGUGGAAAAUUAAUCAAGUGACGGUAUCUAACCAGAAAGGGACGGCUAACUACGUGCCAGCAGCCGCGGUAAUACGUAGGUCCCGAGCGUUGUCCGGAUUUAUUGGGCGUAAAGCGAGCGCAGGUGGUUUAAUAAGUCUGAUGUAAAAGGGCAGUGGCUCAACCAUUGUGUGCAUUGGAAACUGUUAGACUUGAGUGCAGUAGAGGAGAGUGGAAUUCCAUGUGUAGCGGUGAAAUGCGUAGAUAUAUGGAGGAACACCGGUGGCGAAAGCGGCUCUCUGGACUGUCACUGACACUGAGGCUCGAAAGCGUGGGUAGCAAACAGGAUUAGAUACCC
Molecule: ribosomal RNA, 441 nt
Filed under: uncultured bacterium
Lineage: Bacteria
Description: bacterial SSU rRNA
Rfam family: Bacterial small subunit ribosomal RNA
Source: RNAcentral